UUCAAAUUGCAACCAAACACAGCACGAUAUUACCCAGGAAAGAUUGGUUGACAUGCACAUGAAAGUCGACAGAAAGGAUCAACUGUGACAAAAAUACCCUAUUGUUCUCAAGGCCACAAGGAUAUAUACCACUUUCUCUCAGGCAAUAUCCACAAAAUUUUAGCAUUAUUUGGAAAUUAAGAACAAAUAUUUUUUUGUCUUCAUACAAACCAACAUGAAUGGAUGCGCGAGGAAAAUAAACAGAUAUUCACAGAGCAAUGUACUCAUAGGAAGAAAUGUACAGGAGGCUCCUCAGCAAUCUCCACCUUCUUCGCUAGUAACGGAUCGAUGAUUCCUUUCCAUCCUUGGUAGUCUGGAGGCGAACCCUUGUCGGGUAAGGCAAAUCCAUUUAGAAACAAAAUAGGCGUCCAGUAAACCCCUCGCAAGGAAAAUAAGAUUAUGUUAAUUAACAAUUGGUAUUGAAUACAAGAAAAACCAUAGGUAACCAAUAACUGCUACCUAAUCCAGUUUACAGAAAAAUAGAUGCCAAUCAUAGGAAUACAAAAGAAUCAGUCGGUUGAAAUGCAUUAGAAAUAUUCCUCAUUUUAUUCAUCUUUAUUACAAAAAGUUUUCUCUACUCCCAUAGUUCAACUCACAUUAUUGGUCCGUUGGAAAAGAUUUAUGCUUUUACUUUCACUUUUUUAAGAAGAGUUUUCCAAGGAAGCUUCCUUAAUUUAGCUUUCUCUAAAAACUCUUUUAAUCAAACAAAGUAUUUUUAAAAAUUAUUCAAACAUCUUCAAAAACAAUUUUUUAGUUUCAGAAACAGCUUUUGACAUUUCAAAAACUUUACCUAAUGGGCAUAUAUGUUCGUAGUUGACCCCAUCAAGAGGGUGGUAUACAAAUUUUUUGAGGCUAUAUUGCCCUCAACUGCCAGGAUAUUUAACUAAAAAAUUUGCAUAUAACCAAGUUAAAACACACUUCAACAGUACAAUUUUCUCAACAAUAAAUACAAUAUAGAGAUUCCACAACAAUAAAGAAUGAUAGAGUUUUCAUUACGAGCUUCUAUCUAUCGAAUGAAAGAGAAAACAAGCGGAAGUAUAUCAACUCCGGGAUCUAUAAACAGGUGGGCAAGGCAUGCGUGUUUUGCUUUAUAUUACAAUAGUGCAUAAUAUAAAAUAAAGCUAUUUUAAGAAAUCUUUAGCUUCCCACAAUCAAAAUCAGCCAUUCUCAUCAAAAUCCCAACAGUAUAUUUAGACAAAAAGGAUUUCCUCAAGAAACUGAUCACCUUGCCAUUGCUCUCUUGUAUCAUUCCAACAAUAUAGGCCGUGCUUAUAAGACUAAAACUUCUCCAUCUCCUCUCUUUUGCAUACUUUUGCAGCCCCCUUUCCAUUUUCACAUAUUCUCCAUCUUCUUUAUCGUUGCCAGAUGCCUUUGUCAAUAAAGUUUCUGCAAGGCAUUUUGCAAGAAUGACACUAUCUUCUAAAGCUGAACACCCACCUUGACCAAUAUCUGGUGUCAUGGGAUGAAAGGCGUCGCCAACUACACAAACAUUGUUGUGAACAAUAUGUCCAAGUAGAAUAUUCCAUGGUGAUCUAAACUUUAGAGGAGAAUAAGAAAUGCAAUCAAGCUCGGUUCUCUCUACAAUAUCAGAUACUUGUUUCGGAGCAUUCUGAAUAUUGCUUAAUACAAAUUGCUUCAUUUUGAGCGGAUUUUGCUCGUUUUCAUCAUCUGCAGUAAAUGGAGAGGAGAAACUCCGUUAAAUGAAUACAAUGCAAAAUUUAUUCAUAUGGUAUUCAACUUCUAGGCUUAAAUUUUACUGAAAGUAUUAACUUUUGUCAUGAGACUUGGAACAAUAAGUCAAACUGCUUACAAUUGAAAAUCGAUGGAGUAAGUGUGCAAAACCAAUAUAUGCUCUUGUCAUCACAAGGAACAAAACCAUAACGAAUUCCUCCUCCAAAAUAUGCGUGGAACUUCGCCUCAAAGCCAUGGCCAUUGGGGUAGCUAAGAAAGCCUCUAAUUGAUGAUCGUCCAACAUUAACGGGAUUCUGAAGUCCCAACCACUUUGCCACGAUUGAAUUGAUUCCAUCACAUCCAAUCAAGACCUUAAACAAGAUCAGAAUAUAAUUAGUCGGUCGAGAAUGAAGCAUAAGAUCUACGUAUUAAUCAAUUUAUGCAUCAAUAAAUACCAGAUUACAAACAAACAUUGGGAAGCUAUAUGUUCAAAUAACACGAAUUUACCUUGGUUUUGAUAACUGAACCAUCUGCAAGGUGCACCAAUUUGAAAUUUCCCAAUUGCUCUAUGGAAACGAGCUCAGAAGAAUAUCUAAUAGUUCCUUUCGGUAGUUCUUUCUCUAAGGUUUCUAGUAAAUCUUUCCUUUUCACACGUCUGAUUUCAGUGCUUCCCCUGCAUCAUAUCACAAUCGUCCAUAAACAGCCUGAUUUCCAGAUUUUUAACCCACCACCACCACCACCGCUGUCCCCAUGGUCACGAAAAAGAAUGAAUUCUUAUUUUCUGUUUAAAUCUUUGAAAAUCAGCAUUAUUUACGAAAUUUUCUCUGAUUAUAAAUAGUUUGACAACAUAUAUCUGGAAUAAGCAAGUUAGACAAUGGACCAAAUUCGGGAGAGAAAAUGAAAAUUGGUCAAUUGGCAAGUAUGGAAUCGCUUUUCUUUGAUACUAUUUUAUUGAAAAAUGCUUAAAAUACAGGCAUUUUUCAAGAGUUCAAGCUAGCCCCUGUGUUGGUUAGGGGAAGAGGGCAUUUCCAUUGCCAAGGAUUCUGUUUUACACAUCUUCCCUAUAUUAAAUAAGAAUAAUGCUAUUUAGCAUCAAUUAUCUAGUAUCAAUCUAAAUGACAAUGGAGGUCCACCUAUAUUUAUCCAAUAGACAUGUUUUGGUUGGAUGAGCCACCAAGAGUAGUGAUUAGCAUGAUUGAUGCUAAAUAGUAUUAUUCAAUAAAUAAUUAAUGGCGCUAAAUAGUAUUAUUCAAUAAAUAAUUUCAAAGUAUCCCUUGAAAACUUUUCAAAUCUAAAUUCAUUAAGACAUCAUCCAAUCCAUGAUACUAAACAGUAAAUACUCUUGUAGAGGAUCAACCAAAGGCCAAUAUCGACAAGAAUAAGAAUCAAUAGUUGCAACAUUGUCUAUAAUUCUCUAUUAUGUUACAAUCCUCGACAAAGUUCAAGAAGUUAAAUUUUUUUUGUCGAGUCUUUCACUUAAAAAUGUGAACACAAAUUGUUCUCCGAACAAAGAAUAAGACAAAAUCGUGAGGAGACCAAAAAAUACUCACAAAUCCACUUCAGCCUGGGGGGGUUUCUCUGAAGAGGGCAGCCUUGAAUCCAGAGAACAAAUCUGAAACCUGCACCAACAAAAACAGCAAGCAAAUUCAAAAAUCAUGAGCGCAGUACCAGUAUAUCAAGCCAACCUCAGCGAUUAAUUUGAAACCAUACCCAUUAAUUUGCACAGACUUAGUCCUGAGAUGCUCUCCAAUGCCGAGGGCAUCAAGUGCCCUCCAGGCAUUAGUCCACAUGGCAAGAGCAAACCCAGAGAUCCUUAAACUGUCCGAUGAUUCCAAUACCAGGCUUCGAAUUCCCAACCUAUAAUAAUGUAAAUACAUACAAUACUUAUAAUUUAGUUGUAAAGUAUAAUUUUGAAGCUUUAAACAUGCAGAUUUUCAUAUACCUGUGAAGCCCCAAAGCCGUAGAGAGACCGGAUAUACCAGCACCCACUAUUAAAAUCUGUUCAUCGAUCACCAUUUCUUUUUGCUGCAUACUUUCAAUCAACUUUUCUUUUAAUAGAAUGGAUGAGAAUUGGAGCCUGGAAUAGAAGGGAAAUUUAUUUGGAUAGUGUGAUUCAAGAUAUUUGUGUUGGAGAAAGCAGAUUACUUUACAGUGAUCAAUGAGGAGUCGAAGACCCGACAGGAGAAAUUUGAUUAAGGAAAAUCUCAAAGUGACCGAAUUUUGGUGAUCAACAGUGUGGAUACAUGUGAAUAAAAUAAUGUCCGACUAAUGAAGUCUGAGUGUUCGAUCAUUCCGCAUAUAAAGAAUUAUAUUUGUGAAGUAUGGUUGUUUGAUUAAUGAUGCGGCCAGUUAAUAAAUAAUUGGAAAGGGAAGCUUCUAAUGAUUCGGAGAAUGUACAACAAUUACAGCCAAACGCACAAUUACAUCAUAGCGGAGAAUAAGAUAACGGAUGACGUUAGUCAAUUUAGGCUUCUUUCUCUUCUGCUGCGAAGCUGCGUAGAAUUCAUCUACCGCAAGAUUAAGAGCAUUGUUAAUAUUUUAUUAAAUGAUAAAAUCGUUAACUUCUUUAAUUUUUUUAAACUGUCCCAUAUUGUCGAAUUAGCUCCCAUUUGAGCUCCUUUUGUAGAAUAAAUUUGGUAAGAAGUAAUUUUUCAUUUGCAAAAUUAUUUUAGUAGAAAAAAUUAUCUAUAUUUUGUAUCAUAAAAUUCCCCAAAUUGAAGAUGCGACAAGAGCUAGUGCCUUCACAAAUAAAACACGAGCAUAUUUGGUAUGUUAGAAGUGAUUAUAACUGGCCAUGUUAUGGAAAUUUCUUCUUUAUAGAGUCUUUUACUUCCUUUGUCUUCAAGAAACUUCUAGUCUAUGAUCGAAGCAAACGUCAAUUAGCGAAAGUAUAGGAAUUCAAAUUACAACCAAACACAUCAGAACAUUACCCAGGAAAGAAUGAUUGUCAUGCACACGACAAUCGCCGGAAAUGAUCAACUGUGGCAAAAUCACCCCAGUGUUCUCAAGGCCACAAGGAUAUAUGUCAUUUUCUAUAUAGUAAUACAAUUUAGCACCACUAGUGUAAAGCAUCAGCUUAAUAGCAACUACGUGACAUUAAAUGAUACUCACUGAGAUGUACAUGAUUCAUUUAAUUGAACCAAUCAAAUGUGGUCAUGUAGACUGGUGUUAUAACAUCACCAAUGCAAGAUAGAAUUAUUCUUUUCAAUCAGGCAAUUUCCAGAUAUUUUAGCAUUAUUUGGAAAUUAAAAACAAAUAUUUUUGUCUUCAUACCAACCAACACGAAUGGAUGCACGAGGAAAAUUAACAGAUAUUCACCGAGCAAUUUACUCAUGAAGAAAUGUACAGGAGUCUCCUAUGCAAUCUCCACCUUCUUCGCCAGUAGCUAAUCGAUGAUUCCUUUCCAUCCUUGGCAGUCUAGAGGUGAACCCGAGUCGGGUAAGGCAAAUCCAUUUACAAAGAAAAUAGGCGUCCCAUAGACCCCUCGUGAGCUACCAUACAGUGAAAACAAGCUAGUAAGAUUGGAUAUAGGAGUUCUUAAGCUGAAACAAUAAAACGAAAUAACUGCCAUGAAAAAUAGGUAACCCUGCA
Molecule: long non-coding RNA, 5301 nt
Filed under: Olea europaea subsp. europaea
Lineage: Eukaryota; Viridiplantae; Streptophyta; Magnoliopsida; Lamiales; Oleaceae
Source: RNAcentral